Molecule: Y RNA, 101 nt
Filed under: Microcebus murinus (gray mouse lemur)
Lineage: Eukaryota; Metazoa; Chordata; Mammalia; Primates; Cheirogaleidae
Description: Y RNA (ENSMICG00000021693.3)
Rfam family: Y RNA
About the family: Y RNAs are components of the Ro ribonucleoprotein particle (Ro RNP), in association with Ro60 and La proteins. The Y RNAs and Ro60 and La proteins are well conserved, but the function of the Ro RNP is not known.
Source: RNAcentral
GGUUGGUCCUGACUGCAGUGGUAUUUACAACUAAUUGAUCACAACCAGUUACAGAUUCCUUUGUUCCUUCUCCACUCUCACUGCUUCACUUGACCAGUGCC